Molecule: long non-coding RNA, 683 nt
Organism: Ananas comosus (pineapple)
Lineage: Eukaryota; Viridiplantae; Streptophyta; Magnoliopsida; Poales; Bromeliaceae
Exons: 3
Source: RefSeq, a predicted model, not a curated record
UUUCUUUGGACUUAUUAAGUAAAACCGAGCGUGCCUGUCAAAUUUGAGCGAAAACGGACAUCCAGAAGGGCUCCGGCGAAAAAUAAACUGCCCGAAGUGAAUAGUGCAUAGUUGAGGGGCAAAAUGGUAAAAAGGGUUUAAAACCCCUUUUCUUCUUCUCCUCCCAACCGAGGCUGCCCCAACCGCACACACACACACAUACGAAAACACACACGCAUGGAAGAAAGGAGAGAAAUCUCUUUCUCUCUCUAGAUUUUUCCCAAAAUGGAUGGAGUCGGUGGAGAUUGAAGCUUGGAGGUGGAUCGCCCUCGUCCGCUUCAUCUUCUCCAUCGUUUGAAGCAAGUUUUGAGGUAAACAAACACGCUGGCGAAGACGGUUCGGCAAUCCGACGAGCCGUUGCGAAGUUAUUAAAGAAACGGACGUUAGGCUUCGUUUCCGCCGGGAGGGCCGAGGCGACGUCGUAAAAUCCUGGAAACGGAUUUGAAGCACCGUAGCAGCAAAACAAAGACCCUUUUUACCCGGAACUGCAAAGCGAUGCGCGGUUGGUGAGCAAUUUCGAGUUCGGGCCGAACCGGGCACCGGGUGCCGCGGGAGGCCGAUUGCAAGUGUCGACAAGCAAUCGGAACGCGUGUUAAGGUUCGCACGUGAGCGGCGCGGCGGCGCGAGGAAAGGGCGUAGCUCCA